RNAcentral lists this long non-coding RNA (772 nucleotides) under Solanum tuberosum (potato). RNAcentral's name for it is "long non-coding RNA (STUB_LNC004726)". Lineage: Eukaryota; Viridiplantae; Streptophyta; Magnoliopsida; Solanales; Solanaceae. The record is from RNAcentral.
UAAUUUUCGCCCUCAAUCUCUCCUCAGAUUUUCCCACAACACACGAUUCCAUCUCCAAAUUUUCUCCCCCAUUAUUCUCAACAGAUUCAUUAUUCCAAUUUUGAAUUUCAAACUAAUUCUCUCCCCAUUCAAUCAAUUUCAGAGUUUGAAAUAGGUAAUCUCUUCAUCUUCAACUUCUUUUUUAUCAUUUUUUAAAUAUUUUCUUAUACUUUAUGGAUCAUCCGUCUUUUAGUAUUAGGAUUAUCCAAAUAGUCACAACGAACACUAAUCGAAUCUUUGAUUAUGAAGAUCCUAUAACAAUGACUAAGCAAAGUUCUAAGAAGUCAAAAGCUAAAAAGGAGGCACAUGCAAAAACACCCAAGAAAAGUGGUAGAAGGGUUGCCCCGGCCAUAUCCAGAUUUGCAAUACCAACAGUAUGCAUUUUUUUUCCUGUAAUUUUAUGCAUUCACAUCUUACUAUUGGAUCCACAACAUUCAUUUGAGGUGGAAUUUGUUCAAGAUAUUAUGCAACAAGAAAGCGACAGUCUGUAACUAUUGAAUCAUUUUUUCUUUACUUACACAUUUGAUCUUUUUUUAUAAUGUAUCUUCUUCUCUUUUAUAGUGAUUGCAGAAUGUUUUUUGUUGUUUUUGUUGAAUUUCUGAGCAGUCAAAUCAACACCCAUCUAAUGAUUUUCAAAGUGACUAUCUUCACACAAGAUAUGCAACAUUGUUAUGAAAGUAUGGUCUCAACAAGGCCAAGACGAAAUAUGUUAGCAAGAAUGAUGAUCUACAAG